GAUGAAGAACGUAGCGAAAUGCGAUAAGUAGUGUGAAUUGCAGAAUUCAGUGAAUCAUCGAAUCUUUGAACGCACAUUGCGCCUCCUGGCAUUCCGGGAGGCAUGCCUGUUCGAGCGUCAUCAAACCCCAUCGUGCAAAUGAAUUAUUUUUUUUGCGCGGAAGUGACGAUUGAGCGAGAAUAACAAAUCCUCUCGCACCUCGUCGAAAUGAUUGCGGGCGGAAUUUGGGAUCGGGUUCCUCGGCGUAGUGUAUCAAUGCAUAUUUAUGCAACUUGCCGCGGAGUUUAGCCUGACCCACGCGUUCUCGCCGUACAAACACCUCAUUACUGUACAAGUUUUUGACCUCGGAGCAGGUAGGGAUACCCGCUGAACUUAAGCAUAUCAAUAAGCAGAGGA
RNAcentral lists this unclassified non-coding RNA (396 nucleotides) under soil metagenome. RNAcentral's name for it is "partial contains 5.8S ribosomal RNA, internal transcribed spacer 2, and large subunit ribosomal RNA". The stretch from base 1 to 120 matches the Rfam family "5.8S ribosomal RNA", at positions 35 to 154 of the family's 154-position model. The record is from RNAcentral.